GGGGCAGUAGCUCAGCUGGGAGAGCGCAUCCUUCGCAUGGAUGAGGUCGCCGGUUCAAUCCCGGUCUGCUCCA
Molecule: transfer RNA, 73 nt
Filed under: bacterium
Lineage: Bacteria
Also listed under: 1 other name
Description: tRNA-Ala
Rfam family: tRNA
About the family: Transfer RNA (tRNA) molecules are approximately 80 nucleotides in length.
Source: RNAcentral